RNAcentral lists this unclassified non-coding RNA (650 nucleotides) under Hevea brasiliensis (rubber tree). Lineage: Eukaryota; Viridiplantae; Streptophyta; Magnoliopsida; Malpighiales; Euphorbiaceae. The record is from RNAcentral.
AUUGUUCAGAAGAUUCAGAAAAGUUUGGAAUUGGAUCGUCUUCAUGGCUUGGUAGCAGCAGCCAAGGUGUUUCCAAUGUCAAUAACAAACCGAUAUUUAACAUCAUUUUUAGCCAAACGCUCCAUUGCUUCGUUCACAUACUCAAUUGGGACAAGUUCAAUAUCAGCUUUUAUGUUGUGUUUGGCUGCAAAAUCAAUCAUCUCUUGAGUCUCCUUCAUUCCUCCAAUGCCACUCCCAGCAACAACCUUCCUUCCGGCAAUCAAAGGAAAGACAGGUAGCUCGAGAGGCUUUUCUGGAACACCAACCAAUACAAGCUUCCCAUCAGUCUUCAACAAUCCAAGUAAUGGCAAGAUGGGAUGAACUGCAGCCACUGUAUCUAGGAUUCCAUCCAAUGUGCCCAUUGCUUCCUGCAUUUGGGCCUGGUCACGACUGACCAAAAAGGAGUCAGCACCAAGUUGGGUGAUUGCAUCGUGUUUCUUGUCAGGGGAUGUACUAAUCACGGUGACUUUAGCUCCUAAAGCCUUGGCAAAUCUAACAGCAACGUGACCAAGACCACCCAGGCCAACCACACCAACAUGCUUACCAGGUUCUGCUAAUCCAAAAUAUUUCAAGGGACUAUAAACUGUGAUCCCAGCACAAAGGAGAGGAGC